ACUCUGAGUAAAUAGAAAGCCAUUGGAGGGUUUUAAGCAGAGGAGGAACAUGCUCUGACUUAUGAUUUCGAAAGAUCACUGUUGAGAAUAGACUGUAAGGGGGCAAUGGUGAAAGUUGAUAGACCAUUAAUAGUCUAGAUGAGAGAUGACCAUGUCUUCGAUGAGGGGGUAGGAGUGAUGAUGAUGAUAAAUUAUUGGAUUUUGGAUAUAUUUUGAAGGCAGAACCAAUAGGCUUUUCUGAUGAAAAUGAUGUGAUAUGAGAAAAAAAUGACAAAAAGGUUGUGGGUGAUGAUGAGAGAAGAGAAUACAAGGCCAAAGAGAAGGGAUUUCCCUUGUUGUGGAGGAGUCUCACUCACCUUGAAGCAGGAGGGAAAGCAGGGAUCUGGGUGGAAAAAGAUCUAGAGAAUCCUCAUCUAAGCAGAAGAUGAAGGAGUAAAGAGAGAAAGAUGGGUGUAUUGGAAGCUUGCGGGUGAUGGAGAAAGUUUCAAAUAAUUCUUGGAAAAUAAGUUGAAAAAAGAAACGUAACACAGUUGUUAGAGCAGGGCAUGAUUGCUUGUGCCUAUAGUCCCAGCUACUUGGGAUCCUGAGGCAGGAGGAUCUCUUGAGCCCAGGAGAUGGAGGCUGCGUUGAGCUGUGUUUAUGCCACUGCACUCCAGCCUAAGCGACAGAGCAAGACUCCAUUUCUUAAAAAUAAAACAAAAAUGUAGUUGUUAGUAUUGAGGGCCCAUAAGAAGUUGGUGAUGAUGAACCUAUCUACGCUUUUGAUCACCUCCAGCAGAGUUUGACUGUUGCGUGCAAGCAAAGAGAAAGGAGAUGGCGGGGUUCAAUGAGGGCUGUCGUUUUCCUAGAUAGGUUUGUAGAAAAAACAGAGAGGAAGGGAGUUUAAGGGAUUGGCAAAAAGGAUAUAGUAAUAACAGACCAUGGAAUAAAAAUUGAGUAAGAAGGAAAGUGAAAACAGCUGAAGGCUAAUGAAUUGGGAGAAAGCAGAUGGAUCAAUAGACUGGAGGCCCCAAUAUUUCUAAGAGCAGUUGGAGUUGUUGUCAUGCAAGUUGGAAGGAAAGAUGCUUAUCCAAAAGCUGAAUGCCUGAAUCAGUAAUCUUGCGGCAGAGCUAUUGUAGGUGAUGACAAGGUCAGUCCUUUGAAGUCUAUGCAUAUAUAUCUUCAUUAUAGGCUGACUUGCCAAGUCUUAGAAUUUUUACAAUAUAACCUCACUGUGGAUCUCAUCUAAGCAGGUUUGGUAACCAAAAGCUCAAGAGCGUGAGAUUGAGACCCCAGAGAGCUCAUAGCCUGUCACAAACCAGCUGUGUAACCACGGACCUUGAGGAAAUGAACCUUAUGGUCCCUUCCGUCUCUAAUCUGUGACUCCAUAGCCCCAUUAUAAUAUAGCCUUUUCCCAAACACUGACCUUCAACAUAGACCCUGGGGGAUUUUUCUAUUAAAAAUUUGCAACUCUGCACAUUUUUAUCUGCUGAUGCCUCUUGGAAUAUUAAAUGCUUAGAAAGCUGUCGUCGGGAUCACAUUCUGGAAUCUUGACCAUGUAGUCAUCUGAGUGGGUGUGACAGGAAGUAUACACCAGCAGCAUUUGUGUCUGAGUGUCCUUCAGACACUGGGAUGGCUGCACCUUUACCCGUCCUCUCCAACUCUCUCCACCUAGAAAGUAUUCUUUUCUCUUAAUUUUGUUAGAGUUAUAUAGGAAUGCUCCUUCAGCAGAAAUGACAGAGGCUGUUGCUCUCAGAAUCAAAUGCAAUAAUGUGACCUGUAAAUUCCUGUGAAUAUUUGGAUAUUUUAGCGAUAUUUGUUUAUUCAGAAGAGAUUCUGGAUGCAGAACUCUCCUCCUCUCUGUUCUCUAACCCUGCUUUCCACCAUCAUUCUUCUCUCUCUAGGGCACAGAGAGAAUUAAGAACAACCUAAGGGUCAUUACAAUGAUCUAACUGCCUUACCUGCUUUUGAACUGGUUGAGCCUCUUGUGGGACCGAAAACAAAAGAAGGGUGUUGAAAUGCAAAUAGAUAACUCUGGGUCCCAGUCCCUGACUGCAAAAGGAAGCCAAAACUGACAACAACGUCUCCUUCUCUACGGAGGUUUGUAGAAAGGCUGUACAAAAAUCUCACAAGAUGUAUUUCUUCUCGUGGACUGGAGUCCCAAGGUGCUUAAGAGCUCUUCAAUUUGUUAAUGGAAAGAAACACCAUUUACACCGGAUGGCUACAAAGCAACCUUAUUCUGAGAGAGAGGAUCUCAUUCUGUCACCCAGGCUGGAGUGCAUGAUCAUAGCUCACUGCAGCCUCGACCUCCUGGGCUCAAGUGAUCCUCCUGCUCCAGCCUCUCAAGUAGCUAGGACUACAGAUCUUUUCUCAGAAUAGCAGUCUGUAGGCUGUCACCUAAAGUGUCCUGUUUUCAGUGCUGCACCUGCUCUGAGCUUCAUCUUUUUACGAAGACGUCAUGGUGUGCUAUCUGUACUGGGAAACUUUCCCCAGCAUCAGCCAUCUCCUGAAGAUAACAUUGUCUGCUAGAGAUUGUCAUGUAUGUGGAUUGAAUCUCUUUAUCUUCAUGAGGGAGAUUUGAGACAGGAGAAGAGAAGACACGAAGGAGGGAAGGAAGUGAUGUGACCACAGAGGCAGCGAUUGGAGUGAUGUAGUCACAAGCCAAGGAGCACCAACAGCCACCAGGAGCUGGAAGAGCCCAAGAGUAUAUACUAAUACCUGGAUUUGGGACUUGGGACUUCUGGUCUCUAGAAGUAGGAAAGAAUAAACAUCUGUUUUUUGUUUGUUUGUUUGUUUUUUCUUUUUUUUGAGUCAGGGUCUUGCUCUGUCACCCAGGUUGAAGUGCAGGGGUGUGAUCACGGCUCACUGCAGCCUUGACCUCCUGGUCC
RNAcentral lists this long non-coding RNA (2867 nucleotides) under Homo sapiens (human). Its description in RNAcentral is "HSALNT0019825". Lineage: Eukaryota; Metazoa; Chordata; Mammalia; Primates; Hominidae. The record is from RNAcentral.